Molecule: ribosomal RNA, 429 nt
Filed under: Chloroflexota bacterium
Lineage: Bacteria; Bacillati; Chloroflexota
Description: Chloroflexi bacterium partial 16S ribosomal RNA
Rfam family: Bacterial small subunit ribosomal RNA
Source: RNAcentral
UGGGGAAUAUUGCACAAUGGGCGCAAGCCUGAUGCAGCCAUGCCGCGUGUAUGAAGAAGGCCUUCGGGUUGUAAAGUACUUUCAGCGGGGAGGAAGGGAGUAAAGUUAAUACCUUUGCUCAUUGACGUUACCCGCAGAAGAAGCACCGGCUAACUCCGUGCCAGCAGCCGCGGCAAUACGGAGGGUGCAAGCGUUAAUCGGAAUUACUGGGCGUAAAGCGCACGCAGGCGGUUUGUUAAGUCAGAUGUGAAAUCCCCGGGCUCAACCUGGGAACUGCAUCUGAUACUGGCAAGCUUGAGUGUCGUAGAGGGGGGUAGAAUUCCAGGUGUAGCGGUGAAAUGCGUAGAGAUCUGGAGGAAUACCGGUGGCGAAGGCGGCCCCCUGGACGAAGACUGACGCUCAGGUGCGAAAGCGUGGGGAGCAAACAGG